This 73-nucleotide transfer RNA is filed under the name Candidatus Woesearchaeota archaeon. RNAcentral describes it as "tRNA-Gln". It matches the Rfam family "tRNA". From Rfam's summary of the family: Transfer RNA (tRNA) molecules are approximately 80 nucleotides in length. Their secondary structure includes four short double-helical elements and three loops (D, anti-codon, and T loops). Lineage: Archaea; Nanobdellati; Candidatus Woesearchaeota. The record is from RNAcentral.
AGCCCCGUAGUAUAGCGGCCAAGUACAGCCGGCUCUGGACCGGCAGACCGCGGUUCGAUUCCGCGCGGGGCUA